CGCAGGCGCGGUUUAGGGAAACAGGAUGCGAGUCAGCAGCCAGCCCUUCCCCUAAGCAGCGUUYGCAAACCUGGACACCAGGACAGCAGUCCCAGGCCCCAGGGCCGUGGGGUUUGCAUGUCAGAGGAUGCUGCAACAUGUUCCCUCCGUUCGACAGAUCGAGGCAGAGCAGGAAGAUUUUGCCGGCAUCAUUUCCCCUCUCCCCUCAGCCACUACACACCUCCAUGGAGUUGCAGGUCCAGGUCUGGAGAAAUCCUAGCAGGUGCAAUUUGCACACACCAGGGCGUUCACGCCAAUGCAAAAGGAGAGGCCAGAAACGCAGUUUGGACCCAGACUCAGCCCCCCGCRAGCCAAGCCGGGGCGAAGGCAGCUCCCUCGCUCCCACGGGGCGCCACAGGACCCUCGCCGGGUCGCCGUUCCCAAAGGGCAAUGCCUGCAGUUUGCUCCUGCUGCUUCCCAAGAGCGUGGCUGCUACUGCGCUCCCGAGAUAAAGAGGUGCCAGCAGGCCGCUGUUUGCUAACGCUUGGCCGCAGAGAGGCCGGGGAAGGGAUCUGCACGAAACAGAGCGCUGGUGCCCAUGCAGCGCGGAGAUAGCAGCAGCGUCACGGCCCCGGGGCAGCUGCAGCCCUGCGCGGCGGCAUUGCCCGGGCCACGGGCCCAAAGCAGAUUUCGGCCCCUGGAAACCGGAGGGAAUGGGCAAGGGGCACAGGAAAGCAUCGCCAGCCCUGUUUGGCAGGAGGGGAGCCAAUGCCGGGAGACCGAGCAAUUGCUGGCGAGCCUGGGGCCAAGCAGGGCGCAAAUGAAGCAUCUUACAUAAUUCUGAGAAUUUUGUGUGUUUAAAUCUUUCUAUUUUCAUGCAAGAUUUCUUUUGUUUAAGAUGAGCUGGAAACUGUCGUGAGUUUGCCACCAGGACGCGAGUCCCCCUCAGAUAUAUUUACACGUUCAGGAAGACAAACUGCGAGAUCUAAUCUCACGAGGGCUCCUGCACGCGUUUGACUUGAGACACCUGCACCGUUCCUUUAAGUCAAGUGAAACAACUGCAAGCUGAGAGUUAACCUCCACCUAACGAUUGUUUCUGCAAYGUGCAUUUUUCCCUUGUAAACAAAGAACCAAGCACACUUUUACUACCUAAUGACAAAACCUUCAGUGCAGA
RNAcentral lists this long non-coding RNA (1153 nucleotides) under Apteryx rowi (Okarito brown kiwi). RNAcentral describes it as "lncRNA (ENSARWG00000004319.1)". The record is from RNAcentral. Lineage: Eukaryota; Metazoa; Chordata; Aves; Apterygiformes; Apterygidae.